CAGCAGCCGCGGUAAUACGGAGGGGGCUAGCGUUGUUCGGAAUUACUGGGCGUAAAGCGUGCGCAGGCGGUUAUAUAAGACAGAUGUGAAAUCCCCGGGCUCAACCUGGGAACUGCAUUUGUGACUGUAUAGCUAGAGUACGGCAGAGGGGGAUGGAAUUCCGCGUGUAGCAGUGAAAUGCGUAGAUAUGCGGAGGAACACCGAUGGCGAAGGCAAUCCCCUGGGCCUGUACUGACGCUCAUGCACGAAAGCGUGGGGAGCAAACAGGAUUAGAUACCCGUGUAGUCCCUGUCUCUUAUAA
This 301-nucleotide ribosomal RNA is filed under the name uncultured bacterium. Its description in RNAcentral is "partial 16S ribosomal RNA". It matches the Rfam family "Bacterial small subunit ribosomal RNA", at positions 509 to 809 of the family's 1533-position model. The record is from RNAcentral.